ACUCCUGCGGGAGGCAGCAGUGGGGAAUUUUGGACAAUGGGCGAAAGCCUGAUCCAGCCAUGCCGCGUGCAGGAUGAAGGCCUUCGGGUUGUAAACUGCUUUUGUACGGAACGAAACGGCCUUUUCUAAUAAAGAGGGCUAAUGACGGUACCGUAAGAAUAAGCACCGGCUAACUACGUGCCAGCAGCCGCGGUAAUACGUAGGGUGCAAGCGUUAAUCGGAAUUACUGGGCGUAAAGCGUGCGCAGGCGGUUAUGUAAGACAGUUGUGAAAUCCCCGGGCUCAACCUGGGAACUGCAUCUGUGACUGCAUAGCUAGAGUACGGUAGAGGGGGAUGGAAUUCCGCGUGUAGCAGUGAAAUGCGUAGAUAUGCGGAGGAACACCGAUGGCGAAGGCAAUCCCCUGGACCUGUACUGACGCUCAUGCACGAAAGCGUGGGGAGCAAACAGGAUUAGAUACCCCGGUAGUCCCAUGAU
RNAcentral lists this ribosomal RNA (475 nucleotides) under uncultured organism. Its description in RNAcentral is "partial 16S ribosomal RNA". It matches the Rfam family "Bacterial small subunit ribosomal RNA", at positions 335 to 801 of the family's 1533-position model. The record is from RNAcentral.